RNAcentral lists this ribosomal RNA (543 nucleotides) under uncultured bacterium. RNAcentral describes it as "bacterial SSU rRNA". It matches the Rfam family "Bacterial small subunit ribosomal RNA", at positions 775 to 1319 of the family's 1533-position model. The record is from RNAcentral.
AGUCAAUAGAUACCCGGGUAGUCCAUGCCGUAAACGAUGAUUGCUAGGUGUGGGGGGUCUGACCCCUUCCGUGCCGGAGUUAAACACAAAUAAGCAAUCCACCUGGGGAGUACGGCCGCAAGGUUGAAACUCAAAGGAAUUGACGGGGGCCCGCACAAGCAGUGGAGUAUGUGGUUUAAUUCGAAGCAACGCGAAGAACCUUACCAGGUCUUGACAUCCACCGAAUCCUGUAGAGAUACGGGAGUGCCCUUCGGGGAACGGUGAGACAGGUGGUGCAUGGUUGUCGUCAGCUCGUGUCGUGAGAUGUUGGGUUAAGUCCCGCAACGAGCGCAACCCUUGUGAAUAGUUGCUACGAAAGAGCACUCUAUUCAGACCGCCGUUGACAAAACGGAGGAAGGUGGGGAUGACGUCAAAUCAUCAUGCCCCUUAUGACCUGGGCUACACACGUACUACAAUGGCCGUUAACAGAGGGAUGCAAUACCGCGAGGUGGAGCGAACCCCUAAAACGGUCUCAGUUCAGAUUGCAGGCUGAAACUCGCCUGC